This 1410-nucleotide ribosomal RNA is filed under the name metagenome. RNAcentral describes it as "bacterial SSU rRNA". It matches the Rfam family "Bacterial small subunit ribosomal RNA". The record is from RNAcentral.
AGAGUUUGAUCCUGGCUCAGGAUUAAUGUUGGCAGCGUGCCUAAUACAUGCAAGUCGAACGAUAUAGUGGCAGACGAGAGAGUAAUAGGAAGGAAUCUACCCCCGAGUGAAGGAUAGCUCGCCGAAAGGUGAGGUAAUCCUGCAUAAUACCGAAAGGUCAAAGCCGUAAGGCGCUUGGGGAGGAGCCUUCCUCCUAUCAGCUUGUUGGUGAGGUAAGAGCUCACCAAGGCGAUGACGGGUAGCUGGUCUGAGAGGAUGACCAGCCUCGAUGGGACUGAGACACGGCCCAUACUCCUACGGGAGGCAGCAGUAGGGAAUUUUGCACAAUGGACGAAAGUCUGAUGCAGCAACGCUGCGUGAAGGAUGAAGGUUUUCGGAUUGUAAACUUCUUUUAUCAGGGAAUAAUCUUGAAGGUACCUGAUGAAUAAGCACCGGCUAACUACGUGCCAGCAGCCGCGGUAAUACGUAGGGUGCGAACAUUAUCCGGAUUUAUUGGGCGUAAAGAGCUCGUAGGUGGUUUUGCAAGUCUGGUAUGAAAUAUCUGGGCCCAACCCAGGGAACGUACCGGAAACUACAUGACUAGAGGUGUACAGGGGAAGAUGGAACUCAUAGUGUAGCAGUGAAAUGCGUAGAUAUUAUGAGGAACGCCAAUGGUGAAGACAGUCUUCUGGGUACAUUCUGACACUGAGGAGCGAAAGCGUGGGGAGCGAACGGGAUUAGAUACCCCGGUAGUCCACGCUGUAAACGAUGCAUACUAGGAAUUCGGAGAAUCGACCCUCUGAGUUUCGAAGCUAACGCGUUAAGUAUGCCGCCUGGGUAGUACGGCCGCAAGGCUAAAACUCAAAGGAAUUGACGGGGACCCGCACAAGCGGUGGAACAUGUGGUUUAAUUCGUCGACAAGCGAAGAACCUUACCAGGGCUUGACAUCCAGAGAAUCCCGCGGAAACGUGGGAGUGCCGUAAGGAACUCUGAGACAGGUGUUGCACGGUCGUCGUCAGCUCGUGCUGUGAAGUGUACGGUUAAGUCCGCAAACGAGCGCAACCCCUUUCGUAUGUUGAAAUUCUCAUACGAGACUGCCGGUGUCAAAUCGGAGGAAGGCGGGGAUGACGUCAGAUCAGCGUGGCCCUUACGCCCUGGGCUACACACGUGUUACAAUGGGGUGAAACAAUGGGUUGCCAAACCGUAAGGUGGAGCUAAUCCUAUCAAACCACCCCCCAGUUCGGAUCGAGGGCUGCAAUUCGCCCUCGUGAAGUCGGAAUCGCUAGUAACCGUAGGUCAGCCAUACUACGGUGAAUACGUUCUCGGGUCUUGUACACACCGCCCGUCGAGUCAGGAAAGCCGGUAACGCCCGAAGGCCCCAACAGGGGACCACGGUGGGAUCGGUAAUCAGGACUAAGUCGUAACAAGGUA